CGGAGGGUGCAAGCGUUAUCCGGAUUUACUGGGUUUAAAGGGUGUGUAGGCGGGCUAUUAAGUCAGCGGUGAAAUCUCCGGGCUCAACCCGGAAACUGCCAUUGAUACUAUUGGUCUUGAAUGUUGUUGAGGUGGGCGGAACGGGUCAUGUAGCGGUGAAAUGCAUAGAUAUGACCCGGAACACCGAUUGCGAAGGCGGCCCGCUAAGCAACUAUUGACGCUGAGGCACGAAAGCGUGGGGAUCAAACAGGAUUAGAUACCCUGGUAGUCCACGCCCUAAACGAUGAUUACUCGACGUUGGCGAUACACUGAUCAGCGUCCAAGCGAAAGCAUUAAGUAAUCCACCUGGGAAGUACGUUCGCAAGAAUG
RNAcentral lists this ribosomal RNA (369 nucleotides) under uncultured organism. Its description in RNAcentral is "bacterial SSU rRNA". It matches the Rfam family "Bacterial small subunit ribosomal RNA", at positions 526 to 896 of the family's 1533-position model. The record is from RNAcentral.